This 406-nucleotide ribosomal RNA is filed under the name uncultured bacterium. RNAcentral describes it as "partial 16S ribosomal RNA". It matches the Rfam family "Bacterial small subunit ribosomal RNA", at positions 30 to 526 of the family's 1533-position model. The record is from RNAcentral.
AUUGAACGCUGGCGGCAGGCCUAACACAUGCAAGUCGAGCGAGUGGCGGACGGGUGAGUAAUGUCUGGGAAACUGCCUGAUGGUGGGGGAUAACUACUGGAAACGGUAGCUAAUACCGCAUACUGUGAGAUGGACCUGCGUUUUAUUAGCUAGUUGGUGAGGUAAAGGCUCACCAAGGCGACGAUACAUAGCCGACCUGAGAGGGUGAUCAGCCACACUGGGACUGAGACACGGCCCAGACUCCUACGGGAGGCAGCAGUGGGGAAUAUUGCACAAUGGGCGCAAGCCUGAUGCAGCCAUGCCGCGUGUAUGAAGAAGGCAUUCGGGUUGUAAAGUACUUUCAGCGGGGAGGCGUUACCCGCAGAAGAAGCACCGGCUAACUCCGUGCCAGCAGCCGCGGUAAUAC